RNAcentral lists this small RNA (691 nucleotides) under Pan troglodytes (chimpanzee). RNAcentral describes it as "processed transcript". The record is from RNAcentral. Lineage: Eukaryota; Metazoa; Chordata; Mammalia; Primates; Hominidae.
CCCAAAAUGGGAUGCUUGCUUUGCUCACAUUGAUUGCGUCUCCCAGUGCCUCCCUGCGCCUCAUCUCUGUCGUCAUCCUUUUUCUACUGCAGGCUCAUCAGAGAACACAAGUAGCUCACAGCACCCUGGAGAGGGAAGGAGGUUUGUGCAGCUAAAAUAUCUGACUCCUAAAAUGGAGUUUCCUGAAAUUAUUCCUUACUCAUAGUGUAAUGAGGUGUACGUGUUGGAUCUAUUAUAACUUUCUUUCGCUCCAUCUCUCAGAAUAGAUGAUCAUCCUCAUCUUUGCAUCAUAUUCCAAUUAGAAAGGGAUGAUACAACAAGAAAGCUCUUGUAAGAUGUCAGCUGCUUGAUUUUGGACUUUGCAAACUCUAGAACUUUUCUCUUGCUCCUGCCAUGUAAGAAGUGCCUUUCACUUCCGGCCAUGAUUCUGAGGCCUCCCCAGCUGUGUGGAACUAAUAUGGCAGAUAUAACAGCACGUAAUUUCCAAGGCAAGGUCAUAAAAGACAUUGUAGCUUCUGCCUUGCCCCUUCCUCUUGGAUCUCUUGCUAUGGAGUAGCAGCCCCAUGAAGAGACCCGUGGUGGAAGAUCACUGAGGACUCCUGCCAACAGCCACUCAGUGACUGAGGCCUCUUGCAGAAAUCCAUAUGAGUGGGCCAGCUGACAAGAAAAUCUUCCAGCUCUAGUCAAGCCU